This 393-nucleotide ribosomal RNA is filed under the name uncultured bacterium. Its description in RNAcentral is "partial 16S ribosomal RNA". It matches the Rfam family "Bacterial small subunit ribosomal RNA", at positions 523 to 918 of the family's 1533-position model. The record is from RNAcentral.
AUACGGAGGAUCCGAGCGUUAUCCGGAUUUAUUGGGUUUAAAGGGUGCGCAGGCGGGAGAUUAAGUCGGCGGUGAAAUUUUGCAGCUCAACUGUAAAAGUGCCUUCGAUACUGGUUUCCUUGAGUGUGGAUGAAGUAGGCGGAAUUUGUGGUGUAGCGGUGAAAUGCUUAGAUAUCACGAGGAACUCCGAUUGCGCAGGCAGCUUACUAAACCACUACUGACGCUCAGGCACGAAGGCGUGGGGAUCAAACAGGAUUAGAUACCCUGGUAGUCCACGCAGUAAACGAUGAUUACUGGCUGUUUGUGAUACAAUGUAAGCGGCUGAGCGAAAGCGUUAAGUAAUCCACCUGGGGAGUACGUUCGCAAGAAUGAAACUCAAAUGAAUUGACGGGG